Brienomyrus brachyistius is the source of this 1908-nucleotide long non-coding RNA. RefSeq lists it as uncharacterized. The record is from RefSeq and is a predicted model, not a curated record. The transcript is spliced from 2 exons. Lineage: Eukaryota; Metazoa; Chordata; Actinopteri; Osteoglossiformes; Mormyridae.
GCUCUGUACACCCUAUCCAGCUGGGAUGCUUACCAAUGCUCACCCUUACCAUCAGAAUCAAGGACAUUCACACACAGACCUGAGCUGGACAUCGACGUCCCCCACCAAGGCCCCUUUCUGCAGGGCACGCCCCACACACCACAGCCCCAGCCGGCCAUCCUUCGCCAGCGACGGCCCCACUGUCAGCCCGCGCGGUACCGAGUGCAGGACGCUGUGCAGGGAUGCUUGGGCUUGGGCUGAAUAAUCCGGAUACUUCCGUGACUUCUGGAUCGCAGAGUCCACUAAAUAGGAAGCAGAAAAUUAAUUUAUUUGUACUCUUUUUACAUAAAUAUACGGAUAGCUUUAUUAUGUCGUGAGCACAAAACUAUAAAGUUGGAAGGCAUAAUAAACUGGAGGUAUUAAAAGAUAGAAUGCAGCACAGUGGUCAAGUUUUGCCUAACACUAACAGUCUCUGGCAUAGCAAAAACAGUGUUAAAGCGUGACCAGCCCAAACAAUCAUUACUUAAUGAAUAACGCAUACACACCAUUUUACAUAAACCGUAAAAGGCUCGAUUGGCUUGAUGCGUUAAAUGAUCUCAAACGGUUUGAUCUCAGUUUUGCCUGUGGGAGGACCGUGCACAAGUAUAGGAAACCCAGCGAGCGAUCGAGAUGCUUAGCUGGCUAGCUGUCUAACGUUAGCAAAAUGAUGAGGUGCCAUGCGAUUAUCCCAUCCCUUCAUAUUUGCUGAAAACCUAGUAAAUGCGGACUGAAAGAGGAUUCCCCAUGUAAUCCUACGCUAUAAAUUAAUUCGGAACUUUAACUUUCAAUAUCUUAUCUAAAAUAACAAAUUGCAUUUUAAGCAUCUCUUCGGCAGUGCUAAUGGUAAGCUAGCAGAAAAAUUGCACUAAUACCAAACGCGAAUUUACGAUAUACUUCUGUGCAAUCUCAAAAGUCUUCUAAAAAAACUCGAGUUUAUAAAUUGAACUAACUCAGGGAUAGGUUUUCUUCUACGACUUGGCCAAAGCAACGUCUUCUGGUUUCACCGCUGAAACUCCGGGAAAACCAUUCUCCAACCAACAAGAUUCGCAGUCGGAGAUUAGUUGAUUGCAACAUACAUCUUCCGUCGAGGAACAUUUCCUAUUGCGUAGUUUUCAGAUAGGCAGCACCGUUUCUUUAAACCUGAUAACCAAAUUGUUGAACCGUAUGGAAAUAUGAUGUGGUCGAUUACAGUUAAAUUACAUUUUUUACUAAAUAUAACUAUUUAAGAUCAAUUGGGAACUAAAAGUCUAAACAUCUGUUUCAUCGCGGUCGAUGUUUUGGUGACACCGAAGCAUUGUUGUGAAGUAUGAUAAUAUCCGCUAUAAUUGGAAGUCUUUUUCAAAAAAUCCCGCAAUAAAGCUCAUGCUAUUUUGUAUGCAUUUCUGAACGAUAGUUAUAUUCACAAUUACCCCUUCAUUUCAAAAUGUAAUUACAUUUGACUUUUUUUAAUGCUAAAAAUUCAUUUAGCGUAUAUAUUUUUAAGAUAACAUUGAAUAACAAACUGGAAAACGAAAACUGAAAUAUUUAGAAUUGUAAUUUUGAAAGACCACAAAACAAGGAUCUAAAACAAAGCAAAAUAUAUUUAAUAAGCAAAUGUUGCCUUAAUCAACGGAGAAACUGAAGGCCGUCAAACUAGAAAUUCUGAUGGGCUGAUGAAAAAAACAAUAUAACUUAACUGGCGAAUAUUUUUGUUGCACAAAAAACUGUUCAUAUUCAUUAUUGGUCAAGUCACCUCCAUCAAAUGGAAUCAUGAUUAGAUUAAAAUGUAAACCCAACAGUUACAGUUUUUUUUGUAAGAAAGGUAAACUAUAAAUGUCUUUUUCUCUUUAAACACAAGAUGGAUGUACUUCCUUAUCAUCUAGCAAGAAUUAAACUUGGCUUCUCAUGAAA